RNAcentral lists this long non-coding RNA (2213 nucleotides) under Heterocephalus glaber (naked mole-rat). RNAcentral describes it as "lncRNA (ENSHGLG00100036907.1)". Lineage: Eukaryota; Metazoa; Chordata; Mammalia; Rodentia; Bathyergidae. The record is from RNAcentral.
CCCCCUUGUUGCAUGGCAUGGCGAUGUCCACAUAGCGCAGAGGAGAAUCUGUUACACGGAGCAGUGGGCGGCACAUUGACGUAAGACACCCCCGUGAGGGGCUGGUGGUCAGCCCUGGGAUCCGUCACCACCGGAAGACGCGGCUCUCGGAGGGCUGCCUGGAUCCGGUCAGUGAAGGUCCCGGGAGUGAAGCAGCCCGCGAUAGGAGCAGCUCCAGUGGCAGCGGCAACUCCGGCACAGCCCGAUGGUGGUGUUCCUAGAGGCUAUGACGCUGGCACCAGCAGGGUUUUCAGUGGCGACCAUGGCUCAUGCAGCAGCGGGAGUUUUUCCAGGUGCGCUUCAGAUUUAUGAUGUAGGUUCCAUCACUUUCCUUCUGUAAAUGAACUGUUCCAUCUGGAAAUCCAGGUCGGUGCCACCGAAGUGGGCUCCUGCGGCGAGGAAUUUGAGGACCUCCUCCUCCUCCAUUUGCAGGACAUCAAGGACUCCGGACGUUGUGAAAGUUUCCCUUUAAGUUACGAUGGGAAUCACGAACAACGCCAUCCGGACCCCUGCCUUGUCCUGACAUGGACGUUUCUCUCGCAGGUGCCCUGGCAGAGUCCCCAGAGCACAGCUUUAUAAUCAAGCAGCUUCAGCUCCACCACGACCCAUUUGUUAGCUGCGCGACCUUCACAACUAACGCAGCGCCGGCACCCUGUCCUCAUCUGGGAAGCAGGUUAAUGACUGCUGUGGGGACCAAAUAACCCUCUGCCUGUGCUUUAGAUGCACACAGAAUGCCGAGCACGCAGCAAGCCCGCUUCUCGUUCCUCCACACCGUCCCCAUUCUCUGUCCCCGGGGCAGCAGCCCUCAUGCACUCGAGCAGGACCCCAUCUGCCCCUGCAUCUCCGUGUGCAGCUCUUGCGAGGCCAGACGGCCACACACGGAUCAUCCUUCUGCCCGGAGGAGGAUUCUCAGUGGGACACAAGAUCACCUGAUCCAGAAGCUCCCAGUUCCCUCAAGUGGCCAAAGCAGGCCCCUGGGCCAGAUGCCAGUUACAGACAUCCCAGGGAAGAAUAGCCAGACCGAGUUCCACCAUGAGAGUCCUACAGGAAGCGGAGAGCUGAUCCUUGGAGCUGCCCUUAUGUGUCAGUCUGGCCCGAAAAGAGCAGGUGGAUCCUGGGAGACGUCACAGCGCAGCGCCAGGGGCAGCUGUGUGCCAGGCACAGUGCAGCCCUCGCCGCACACAGCCACUGACCUGCAGGAGUAGUGACACUCGCCUUUCUUCCUCUCAUCCAGACGGCCCUCACCUUGGUCAGCAUCUGGGACACAGACGAGAUGCUAGGUGUGGAACAGGAGCGUGUUCUGGGACAGGACUGUGAUCUGGAUGAAGUGAGGUGACUCAGGCCAAGCUGUUCAGCAUCUCCAGGUGCGGCUGCCUGACUGUAGCAUGGAGACAGUAACAUGACCUGUUACAGACUGUCGGGGGCAUUACGUGAGCCAAUACUUGAAAAUGCUGAGAAUAACCAGCACAGCAAGCAACUAAAACAGGAUGAGAGAGGCCUACGGCACUUAACACAUUUGCUUCUCAAGCUGGAUCUAGUCCCUGCUUGGCUGACAAUUGUGAAGUUAAACAUCUGGAAAACAGUAAAAUGUGCCAGAGCCGAGGAGGGCUUUCCUACAUGUAUCUCAGGGUGACCCCUCCACACCGUCCCAAGUGACCUGGCUUUCACCUGUUUCUGGGAGCCCUGAGGUUCUUAUGAGGAGCAGCGCCCGCACAGCAGAGCGGAAGCCUGACAGCCAGCAGCACAGCAGAUGAGGUGAGAAGACAGCGUGCUGUCAACUCAGAAUCUAUAAGGCUGCAGGACACAGGGUUGUGGUCGGCGACCGGCCAGCCGGGCUGCAGCAUCUGGGCCAGGUAGUCGCCGGCAGCCCAGCCCCCACCACGUCAUGAGCCGAGGUGAACAGAUGGGGCCUGGAUCAGUGAGAUGCAGGUCCAUGCUCACCUGGGAAGGGCAGAGAGAGGAACCUGGGACCAGACCCCAACACAAAUCCACAGCCGCAGGGACCUGAAGUGGGAGAGUCUCGCAGACAGGAAGCGGGGCCGUCACUCACUGCAAAGUGAUGACAAGGACCCGGAGGACCUGCAGAGGCCACAGGAAGCGCUCUUGGACUGGGGUGCUCUCCUGUGGUGACGAGGCUCCGUGGCACCCCGACAGCAGGCCCACCUUCACCACUG